UAUCUCUGUAGAGUCUGCAUAUCAAUAAGCGGAGGAAAAGAAACUAACAAGGAUUCCCUUAGUAACGGCGAGUGAAGCGGGAAGAGCUCAAAUUUGAAAUCUUCAAGGUUCUACCUUGACGAAUUGUAGUUUAAAGAAGUGUUUUCUGUUAGAUGAUUAGGCUAAAAGUUCCUUGGAAUAGGGACAUCAUAGAGGGUGAGAAUCCCGUAUUUGACUUAUUCAUUCUAGCGUUGUGAUACACUUUCGAAGAGUCGGAUUGUUUGGGAAUGCAGUCCAAAAUGGGUGGUAAAUUUCAUCUAAAGCUAAAUAUUGGCGAGAGACCGAUAGCGAACAAGUACCGUGAGGGAAAGAUGAAAAGAACUUUGAAAAGAGAGUUAAACAGUACGUGAAAUUGUCAAGAGGGAAGCGUUUGACACCAGUGUUGUUUUUCCGAAAAUCAAUUACGAAUGGCUUGAUUCUGUGUUGUAUUGACCUUAUCAGCUUUCUUCACUUUUUUCGAGUCUUUCUUAAUGCACCUUUCGGUUAACAAGUCAACAUCAAUUUCUUCUGUUGUAAAAGAGUAUUCGGAAGGUGGCUUUCUUUUCGGAGAAAGUGUUUAUAGCCCUAUACUUCUACAAUCGGAGAGAUUGAGGUCUGCAGCGUAGAUCCUUCGGGGUUAGAUACACUUGUGCUAAGUUGUAGCUUUUCAUAGACAACUUGUUGACUAUGUUUAGUCAUGUCGCUUACUCGCUUAUGCUAUUUUACCUACGCUUAGGAUGUUGAUCUGUAGUGCGUGCGC
This 778-nucleotide ribosomal RNA is filed under the name uncultured Neocallimastigales. Its description in RNAcentral is "partial large subunit ribosomal RNA". It matches the Rfam family "Eukaryotic large subunit ribosomal RNA", at positions 24 to 647 of the family's 3401-position model. The record is from RNAcentral. Lineage: Eukaryota; Fungi; Neocallimastigomycota; Neocallimastigomycetes; Neocallimastigales.